CUCGCAAGAGUGAACUAGCUAACUGAAAUCAUAGAAUUUUUUAAAAUUCAUGAUGUCGUAAGGGAAAAUAAUGAUAAUACCUUACUAUGAGUGUCGCCCAAAUCUGGUGCCAGAAGACUCGGUAAGACCAGAGACGCAAACGUUAAUCAUCAUAAACAGGCGUAAAGGGUUUGUAGGCAGCUUUCACCAAACUAUGAUUACAAAAUAAAGUAGUUUAAUUGAAAGCUAGAAUCAAAAAGAGGUUAUAGUGUAUAACGCCUAGAGGAGGGCUGAUAUCCAUAGAUCCUAGGCAGAAUACUCAGGGCGAAGGCCACUCUCCACUACUGAUUGACGCUGAGAAACGAAGGUUAGGGUAGGAAAUAGGAUUAGAUACCCCGGUACUCCUUUCUGUAAACGAUGAAUGGUAGUCAUUAGUUUUAUAACUAGAGACGAAGUUAACACAAUAACCAUUCCGCCUUGUGAGUACUACUGCNAAGUAGAAAACCAAAAAAUUAGUCGGUCUCGAAGCAAACGGAGUGCA
RNAcentral lists this ribosomal RNA (520 nucleotides) under Daedalea confragosa. Its description in RNAcentral is "SSU rRNA". It matches the Rfam family "Bacterial small subunit ribosomal RNA", at positions 374 to 938 of the family's 1533-position model. The record is from RNAcentral. Lineage: Eukaryota; Fungi; Basidiomycota; Agaricomycetes; Polyporales; Fomitopsidaceae.